CCUACGGGUGGCAGCAGUGGGGAAUAUUGCACAAUGGGGGCAACCCUGAUGCAGCGACGCCGCGUGAGUGAAGAAGUCAUUCGUUAUGUAAAGCUCUAUCAGCAGGGAAGAAAAUGACGGUACCUGAGUAAGAAGCCCCGGCUAACUACGGGCCAGCAGCCGCGGUAAUACGGAGGUGGCAAGCGUGAUCCGGCUUUACUGGGUGUAAAGGGGGCGUAGACGGCAGUGCAAGGCUGGAGUGAAAGGCGGGGGCUCAACCCCCGGACUGCUCUGGAAACUGUGCGGCUGGAGUGCAGGUGAGGUAAGUGGAAUUCCGGGUGUAGCGGUGAAAUGCGUAGAUAUUAGGAGGAACACCAGUGGCGAAGGCGGCUUACUGGACUGUAACUGACGUUGAGGCUCGAAAGCGUGGGGAGCAAACAGGAUUAGAUACCCGAGUAGUC
Molecule: ribosomal RNA, 440 nt
Filed under: uncultured bacterium
Lineage: Bacteria
Description: partial 16S ribosomal RNA
Rfam family: Bacterial small subunit ribosomal RNA
Source: RNAcentral